GAGAUUUUAACUCCCACCCCUAACUCCCAAGGCUAGGAUUCUAAACUAAACUAUUCUUUG
RNAcentral lists this transfer RNA (60 nucleotides) under Perca flavescens (yellow perch). RNAcentral's name for it is "proline transfer RNA". Lineage: Eukaryota; Metazoa; Chordata; Actinopteri; Perciformes; Percidae. The record is from RNAcentral.